RNAcentral lists this ribosomal RNA (1033 nucleotides) under Paenarthrobacter nitroguajacolicus. RNAcentral's name for it is "bacterial SSU rRNA". It matches the Rfam family "Bacterial small subunit ribosomal RNA", at positions 50 to 1098 of the family's 1533-position model. Lineage: Bacteria; Bacillati; Actinomycetota; Actinomycetes; Micrococcales; Micrococcaceae. The record is from RNAcentral.
AACACAUGCAAGUCGAACGAUGAUCCCAGCUUGCUGGGGGAUUAGUGGCGAACGGGUGAGUAACACGUGAGUAACCUGCCCUUGACUCUGGGAUAAGCCUGGGAAACUGGGUCUAAUACCGGAUAUGACUGUCUGACGCAUGUCAGGUGGUGGAAAGCUUUUGUGGUUUUGGAUGGACCCGCGGCCUAUCAGCUUGUUGGUGGGGUAAUGGCCUACCAAGGCGACGACGGGUAGCCGGCCUGAGAGGGUGACCGGCCACACUGGGACUGAGACACGGCCCAGACUCCUACGGGAGGCAGCAGUGGGGAAUAUUGCACAAUGGGCGCAAGCCUGAUGCAGCGACGCCGCGUGAGGGAUGACGGCCUUCGGGUUGUAAACCUCUUUUCAGUAGGGAAGAAGCGAAAGUGACGGUACCUGCAGAAGAAGCGCCGGCUAACUACGUGCCAGCAGCCGCGGUAAUACGUAGGGCGCAAGCGUUAUCCGGAAUUAUUGGGCGUAAAGAGCUCGUAGGCGGUUUGUCGCGUCUGCUGUGAAAGACCGGGGCUCAACUCCGGUUCUGCAGUGGGUACGGGCAGACUAGAGUGCAGUAGGGGAGACUGGAAUUCCUGGUGUAGCGGUGAAAUGCGCAGAUAUCAGGAGGAACACCGAUGGCGAAGGCAGGUCUCUGGGCUGUAACUGACGCUGAGGAGCGAAAGCAUGGGGAGCGAACAGGAUUAGAUACCCUGGUAGUCCAUGCCGUAAACGUUGGGCACUAGGUGUGGGGGACAUUCCACGUUUUCCGCGCCGUAGCUAACGCAUUAAGUGCCCCGCCUGGGGAGUACGGCCGCAAGGCUAAAACUCAAAGGAAUUGACGGGGGCCCGCACAAGCGGCGGAGCAUGCGGAUUAAUUCGAUGCAACGCGAAGAACCUUACCAAGGCUUGACAUGAACCGGAAAGACCUGGACACAGGUGCCCCGCUUGCGGUCGGUUUACAGGUGGUGCAUGGUUGUCGUCAGCUCGUGUCGUGAGAAUGUUUGGUGUUUCCGCACGAGUU